RNAcentral lists this ribosomal RNA (461 nucleotides) under uncultured bacterium. RNAcentral describes it as "partial 16S ribosomal RNA". It matches the Rfam family "Bacterial small subunit ribosomal RNA", at positions 338 to 795 of the family's 1533-position model. The record is from RNAcentral.
CCUACGGGUGGCAGCAGUGAGGAAUAUUGGUCAAUGGCCGUAAGGCUGAACCAGCCAAGUAGCGUGAGGGAAGACUGCCCUAUGGGUUGUCAACCUCUUUUAUGCGGGGAUAAAGGUGUCCACGUGUGGAUGUUUGCAGGUACCGCAUGAAUAAGGACCGGCUAAUUCCGUGCCAGCAGCCGCGGUAAUACGGAAGGUCCGGGCGUUAUCCGGAGUUAUUGGGUUUAAAGGGAGCGUAGGCCGGUCUUUAAGCGUGCCGUGAAAUUUUGUGGCUCAACCAUUCAGACUAUUAGCUAAACUGUUAAGCUCGAGACCGUUAGGGGUAACUGGAAUUUCUAGUGUAGGAGUGAAAUCCGUAGAUAUUAGAAGGAACACCAAUAGCGUAGGCAGGUUACUGGGACGGUUCUGACACUAAGGCACGAAAGCGUAGGGAGCAAACGGGAUUAGAUACCCCAGUAGUC